This 1421-nucleotide long non-coding RNA is filed under the name Sus scrofa (pig). Its description in RNAcentral is "lncRNA (ENSSSCG00025034329.1)". The record is from RNAcentral. Lineage: Eukaryota; Metazoa; Chordata; Mammalia; Artiodactyla; Suidae.
UGAGGUGAUGGAGGAAAACCCUUCACGGCACCUAUCUUUUAUUUCAUUGAUGCAAUGGCAGCAGUCCCGGUUCCUAAUCAGGGGAGCAGAGCCAGGCUUCAGGCAGAUCCCAUGCUGCCCAGUAUGACAGCAGCCAGGAGCCACAGCGUGUGGCUGCUGGACUCUUGAAUGUGGUUUGUUUGAUGGAGGAGCUGAAUUUUUAAUUGUAUUUAAUUUCAGUUAACGUCACACCGGAUAUUCAGUUCAGUUUUGGGCAAACUUGUAAGUGUAUUUAAAUUACCCUAGGCACACGCGUCUAUUUUUCAAAUGAUACGUCUUCUGAACUUUAGCUACGGAUCAAACGCGUCCUUAACGGUGAUCAGCGUUUCCGAUGACAGUUUAGCGGUCACGCUGAAAUGUGCUGAGUGUAAAAAUGCCCUGGUUUCGAAGACUUCACAACAUGCAAAGAGAAACGGAAAGGAGCUGGCGAAUACGUUUUUGGGUUGAUUCCAUGUUGAAGUGAUACUAUUUCAGAUAAGAUGGAUUAAAUAAAACGAAUUAUUCAAACGGAAUCCACCUACAAGGGGUUAUUCUCCAGCCGUAAAAAGGAACGGAGGACGUGUUCCCAGGCGACCACGUGCACGAACCUGGCACCAGGCUGUGCGCAGGGAGCACACGUGUUCUGCGAUUCCACGGACGCGACGCGACCGGAGGAGGCGGGGCCGUGGAGACAGGAAUUUCCCGGGAAAUUGUGGCAGCUGAAUUUGCAUGAUGUAGCUACAAAUGGAAUCUGCAAAAUGUGUGUGUUCAUGUGGUUUGGACGUGAGAAUAAUUCCUGUACCCGGUCAUGUCGGGAAGAGUCGAAAUAUUCACUUCCCGUCCCCCAGGGACCAGGCCAGCUCUCGGACCCUGACAGUUGAUGGCAGCUUGGAGGCUUAAUGGAGGCCGCGUGACCCAUGGAACGCCUGCAGGCCAGCCACCCUGCGCUCAAGAAAUGGGAGCGGCUAUUAGCAGCAGGACUGCUCUUAGAAAAUGUGCUAAGUAAUGCAUGGAGUGUGGUGUUUCACAGCCACGUAAUGAUGGUAAAAUACGCUGUAAAUCAAUAGAGGAGGUGGCCUGUGUUUUAACCCUUUGAAUCAGUUUCACUCGUUUCUGUGACUUCUAUGAGAGAAAAUAAUGGAUUUAAAAAACAUAGUUGCAGUGUUUUGCUGAGCUGUGGGUUUAUUCAUUUGGUGUUUCAUCCAACGAGUUUUUUGUUUUUUUUUUUUUCUUCUUUUCUAGGGCCGCACCCGUGGCACAUGGAGGUUCCCAGGCUAGGGGUCGAAUCGGAGCUGUAGCCGCCGGCCUCCGCCAGAGCCACAGCCACGCCAGAUCUGAGCUGUGUCUGCGAUCUACACCCCAGCUCACGGCAACGCCGGAUCCUUAACCCACUGAGCGAGCCC